UAAGUCCCUUCCUUCCGUGUGAAUCACUUUGACAUUUAAAGAGUUCAUGGAACCAAGAAAAAGGUAAGGCCUAUUAUUGCAAAAAAGACAAUGCUGUCACCCUCAUGGAAUGUUCCUGGAUUCCUGCCAUGCAGAGAAAGGGAUGUGUCCUGGGUGGCAAGGAGAGGUGAUAGUCACCCUGGUGAUGAGUCGUCCAUCAAGUCCCUUGAGGUCUGUGAUCAUAGAUCAUCUAGUCAAUGAAGGGCCAGGCUCCUUGCAGGCUGGGCUCCGGUACUGGUAGUCCUGACUACCCUCUCAUCAUCCACAUCGUGUGAUCAAAAGGGAUUAAAUGAAUCCAGUCUUUCCUUUGCUCUCUCUCCCCAGAAGAGUAAAACAGACUGGCAAAUAUUUGCUUAAGACAGAUCCUUUCUGAUAACCAAACUGGAUGGCUUUCAGAGUAACCACAGGGGUAGGAUUAGAAUUGUCUGGGUGACUCGAAGGAGGUGGCUAAGGAAGGGAAGUUGGGUGUUACCAUGGAAAGCUGGAAUCCAGCUCUACUGAUCACCUCCCUAAGCACCACAUUGUGCACUGAACUCUCCUUAUCCUGCCCUGAAUCAGACUGCUGGUUGCCAUGGGGCGUGUUCAACACGUCGGAUGGGCUGCAUCAUGCCGCCUGUACCAACCGCCUGUGCCAGGGUGCUUGUCUGCUUGGUUGUCAAGGAAGACUCAAGUCAACAGAAGGGAAAGAUCCAUAAGGUGGGAAGAAAUGUUCUCCUUGAAUUGUGAUUCCGGAGACUAUGACUAAGGUUAUGAAACAGCCUAUUUCCUUUGCAGUUUUCCUGCCUUAUGACACAUCUCUUCUCAUUUUUCUCACAUUCUAGAGACCCAAUCUGAGAGGGAGCGUGUAGUUUCCAUCCUUCUUGGCUUAUUAUUUUUAUUACUCCCCUCCUUAGAUGCUCUGUAAGCUUCUGAGUUUGUUUGUUUGUUUGUUUGUUUGUUUGUUUAAGGGCCAGUUAUUUAAAACGUUUGAUGGUGUCCUCUGAUAUCCAUUGCUUGACUUAUUAACAUGUUCUCUUAAUAUUCCUACAGUCGGCAAUAGCUAACAGCUUGCUGAAGUUGCUAUGCUGUGGUUUCUUCUAAACUUGUCUGCUAGUGAGGGAGCUGGGGAGAUUCCCAUGCACAGAAAGAGGCAGGACUUCUCACCGGAAGGUUACACAAAGCAGACAGGAAUAAACUCCCUGGCUAAAGUGCGGCUCAGACCAAAAUAGAUCCACAUCUAUUGGAAUUGACAUGGAAGGCCAGUGGGGUUGGCACAUGGGGCAGGAGAAACACAAGAGUCCAAAUUGAGAUGGGCUGGGGAUAGAGAGGGCUGUUUGGAAAUCAGGAAGAUUCUGCACUAAGAAGAUGAGGUGAGUUCCUGAUGGGGACUUUGCUCAAAGCCAUGUGUCCAUUGGAGACAUAAAAAGAUGUUGUCUGACUAUCUAACAGGGGUCUCAGAUCUGUGCUGUUAGUACUUCUCUCUGGAAAAUUCCACUGGGAUUCUUCUCUUUGAUGUCACUGCCCUCCACUGACGUAGGACUGGGCCAUCAGGAUACAUGACAGCAUAAAUGUUAGACUGACAAAUGACUACGAGUAAAGAAACAGGAAUCCUGGUUUGGAGAGGCUGUUCAAUGGGUGUGAAUGCUUGCUUCAAAGUAUAACAACUUGAAUUCAGAUCCCCUGCACACAGGAACCAAAAACUAGGCAACUGUGAUCUCAGCACCUUCACAGGUGAAGACAGGAGGAUACCAGAGCUUUGUUGGCUGCCAGCCUAGCUCCAGGUUCACUGUGAGACCCGAGGGAACAGAGAAGAAAGUGAUAGACAGAACCAUCAAUGUCCUCAUGUGACCUCAACAUGUGUACACCUGCACAUAUACCACAAACACACAUGUACACACACAUACACAAGCGUAUACAUACACGCAAAUGCACACGUACUAAUAUACACAAACACAUACACACACACAUACAAACACACACACACAACACAACUGAACUUUGCAUCAAGAUUUUAAGACCUUGAUCACCACCCCAGAAAGCUUAGGCAGAGCUUCAAGGGAAAUUUUGUUUUAUGCCAGCAAUAACCAGCUUGCUUUCCUUAAAACAGACAUUAUUUUGUACUACAAAAAUAGUUUUAGGUUUGAGAAUUGCUGCUUGCUACAUAUUUCUCUCUUUCAGUAUCUGUUCUAUUCAUUAAUGUAUUCAAUCCUUCAAAGUUCUUCAGAAGGUAGCACAUUUCUUUUGUAUUGUGUGUAUGUGUCUGUGUGUAUGUGUUUGUAUGUAUUUGUACAUGUGUAUUCACAUGUAUGUGUACACUUGUGUGUGUGUGUGUGUGUGUGUGUGCUUAUCUCCACAAAAUAUCCAAAAUAACAGUUUAUCUGUUUAUAUUCCUAGUACUAUAACAGAAAUAUUCAAGCACCCACUGAGGCUCUGAGGAAGCAACUGAGGUCACCGGGCAUGGCGGCAGGAGCCCUGCUUUACCCAAGAAGGUAUCUUUGCAGGCUGUUGAUCUUUUUACAUGGACGUGGACUUCUGUCUUUUCUGGGCUGCUCCCUUGAACACGUUGUAAAAUGCAUGUUUAUGUUUGAAAUCAAACUGACUUCCCUAUCAGCAGGGACCUGUGCUAGGUGUGACCUGGGAAAGGAUUAGCUGCAAUUCCUGUUUCUUCUGAAUCUCCCUCUCGAGAAUUUGCAGCUCAGCAGCUUCCUCGUUGGGACAGUGAGCAAGCAAAGGUGUUCAAUUGGAUCAGAGCGCAAGGACACCAGAAACUUCAACAAUCAAAACAAAAUUAUUCAGAGGAGCAAAGAGAAAAAUGAUGGUCCUUUUUCUCACUCUUAUAUUUCACUGCUACACAGUUCCUGUUAAGCCAGGAUUGCCAAAGAUGAGUUAAACACAAAGCUGGUGCCGUAUUUUACUGUUCAUCCGUUAACUGGGAGCUCCUGCCCUUUCAGUACUGAGCUGUCCCGUCUCUCUGGUGUCUGACUUGUGAAUUGGAAGCUGGAAUGCAGGUCUAGCAGUUCCCUUGAAUAUAUUUUUUUCUGUUUGCUUGUU
This is a long non-coding RNA of Mus musculus (house mouse), 3069 nucleotides long. RefSeq annotates it as predicted gene 28497. The record is from RefSeq and is a predicted model, not a curated record. The transcript has 3 exons. Lineage: Eukaryota; Metazoa; Chordata; Mammalia; Rodentia; Muridae.